AACGUAGGACGCAAGCGUUAUCCGGAGUUACUGGGCGUAAAGCGCGCGUAGGCGGCUUUUCAAGUCGAUUGUGAAAUCCCCGGGCUUAACCUGGGAACUGCAGUCGAGACUGUCUAGCUAGAGUAUGGGAGAGGGAAGUGGAAUUUCAGGUGUAGCGGUGAAAUGCGUAGAUAUCUGAAGGAACAUCAGUGGCGAAAGCGACUUCCUGGACCAAUACUGACGCUCAUGUGCGAAAGCGUGGGGAGCAAACAGG
Molecule: ribosomal RNA, 253 nt
Filed under: uncultured bacterium
Lineage: Bacteria
Description: partial 16S ribosomal RNA
Rfam family: Bacterial small subunit ribosomal RNA
Source: RNAcentral